AUUGAACGCUGGCGGCAGGCCUAACACAUGCAAGUCGAACGGUAGCACAGAGAGCUUGCUCUCGGGUGACGAGUGGCGGACGGGUGAGUAAUGUCUGGGAAACUGCCCGAUGGAGGGGGAUAACUACUGGAAACGGUAGCUAAUACCGCAUAACGUCGCAAGACCAAAGUGGGGGACCUUCGGGCCUCACACCAUCGGAUGUGCCCAGAUGGGAUUAGCUAGUAGGUGGGGUAAUGGCUCACCUAGGCGACGAUCCCUAGCUGGUCUGAGAGGAUGACCAGCCACCCUGGAACUGAGAAACGGUCCAGACUCCUACGGGAGGCAGCAGUGGGGAAGAUUGCACAAUGGGCGCAAGCCUGAUGCAGCCAUGCCGCGUGUAUGAAGAAGGCCUUCGGGUUGUAAAGUACUUUCAGCGGGGAGGAAGGCGGUGAAGUUAAUAACUUCACCGAUUGACGCUACCCGCAGAAGAAGCACCGGCUAACUCCGUGCCAGCCGCCGUGGUAA
This 504-nucleotide ribosomal RNA is filed under the name uncultured bacterium. RNAcentral describes it as "partial 16S ribosomal RNA". It matches the Rfam family "Bacterial small subunit ribosomal RNA", at positions 30 to 523 of the family's 1533-position model. The record is from RNAcentral.